GACGAACGCUGGCGGCGUGCUUAACACAUGCAAGUCGAACGGAAAGGCCCUGCUUGCCGGGUGCUCGAGUGGCGAACGGGUGAGUAACACGUGGGUGAUCUGCCCCUUACUUUGGGAUAAGCCUGGGAAACUGGGUCUAAUACUGGAUAGGACCAUGCUGUAGGUGGUGUGGUGGAAAGAUUAGUUUCGGUAAGGGAUGAGCUCGCGGCCUAUCAGCUUGUUGGUGGGGUAAUGGCCUACCAAGGCGUCGACGGGUAGCCGGCCUGAGAGGGUGGACGGCCACAUUGGGACUGAGAUACGGCCCAGACUCCGACGGGAGGCAGCAGGGGGGAAUAUUGCACAAUGGGCGCAAGCCUGAUGCAGCGACGCCGCGUGGGGGAUGACGGCCUUCGGGUUGUAAACUCCUUUCAGCCAUGACGAAGCCCUUGUGGUGACGGUAGUGGUAGAAGAGGCACCGGCGAACUACGU
Molecule: ribosomal RNA, 468 nt
Filed under: uncultured bacterium
Lineage: Bacteria
Description: partial 16S ribosomal RNA
Rfam family: Bacterial small subunit ribosomal RNA
Source: RNAcentral